RNAcentral lists this ribosomal RNA (353 nucleotides) under Hygrostola dallolmoi. RNAcentral describes it as "partial 12S ribosomal RNA". Lineage: Eukaryota; Metazoa; Arthropoda; Insecta; Lepidoptera; Noctuidae. The record is from RNAcentral.
UAAAAUUUAAAUUUUAAUACUAAAAAAGUAAAUAAUUAUUUAUUGAAACUUAAAUGAUUUGGCGGUAUUUUAGUUCAUUUAGAGGAAUCUGUUUAAUAAUUGAUAUUCCACGAAUAAAUUUACUUAAUUUGGAUAAUUUUGUAUAUCGUUGUUGAAAAAAUAUUUUUUAAUAAUAUUAAUAUUUUAAAAUUAUAUUAUAAAUUUAAAUCAGAUCAAGAUGCAGAUUAUAAUUAAGAAUAUAAUGGAUUACAAUAAAUUUAUUUAAAUGGAUAAUAAUUUGUAAGAAUUUAUUGAAAGUGGAUUUAAAUGUAAUUUUAUUUAAUUUAAUAAAAUGAUUAAAAAUUAAAAUAUGU